Molecule: ribosomal RNA, 691 nt
Filed under: Farysia sp. UWOPS 07JM-104.2
Lineage: Eukaryota; Fungi; Basidiomycota; Ustilaginomycetes; Ustilaginales; Ustilaginaceae
Description: LSU rRNA
Rfam family: Eukaryotic large subunit ribosomal RNA
Source: RNAcentral
UUCAAACGGCCUCAGAUCAGGUAGGACUACCCGCUGAACUUAAGCAUAUCAAUAAGCGGAGGAAAAGAAACUAACAAGGAUUCCCCUAGUAACGGCGAGUGAAGAGGGAAGAGCCCAAGAUUGAAAGCUGGCGUCUUCGGCGUCCGCAUUGUAAUCUCAAGAAGCAUUUUCCGCUUCGGACCAAGCCUAAGUCCCUUGGAAAAGGGCAUCGUAGAGGGUGAGAAUCCCGUACAUGGCUUGGAGCGCCCGAGGCUUUGUGAUAUGCAUUCUAAGAGUCGAGUUGUUUGGGAAUGCAGCUCAAAAUGGGUGGUAAAUGCCAUCUAAGGCUAAAUAUUGGGGAGAGACCGAUAGCGAACAAGUACCGUGAGGGAAAGAUGAAAAGAACUUUGAAAAGAGAGUUAAACAGUACGUGAAAUUGCCAAAAGGGAAGGGUAGGAGGUCAGAGAUGCGGCGUGGGAUUCAGCCUUGCUUUUGCUUGGUGUUUUUCCCUCAUUGCAGGCCAACGUCGGUUUUGGGCACUGGAGAAGGGUGAGAGGAAUGUGGCACUCUUCGGGGUGUGUUAUAGCCUCCCACUGGAUACAGCGACCGGGACCGAGGAACGCAGCGUACUCGAAAGAGCGGGCCUUCGGGCACCUUUACGCUUAGGGCGUUGGCAUAAUGGCCCUCUACCACCCGUCUUGAAACACGGACC